Long non-coding RNA from Herpailurus yagouaroundi (jaguarundi), 625 nucleotides. RefSeq lists it as uncharacterized. The record is from RefSeq and is a predicted model, not a curated record. NCBI's taxonomy places the organism in Eukaryota, Metazoa, Chordata, Mammalia, Carnivora, Felidae. The transcript is spliced from 3 exons.
ACGUCUGUUGGAUGCAUAUAUUUUGAAGAGAGGGAAAAAAGGAUUCUUGAAUAAGACUUCGACAUGGCAUAUAAUCUAAAACUGUUCAUGAUUUUAUUGGGUAUUGGACAGCACCUAUAUUAACAAGGGUCAAGCCUGAAAUUAUAUACUCAAGUCUAAAGGAGUAAGACUCUGUGUGAACCAAAAAGUAGGGUCAACGUUUUGAACGCCCACUGCCCACCCUGCCGGCUACCUGCUCAUCCUCAAGGUUCAACACCAAGUGCCACGUUGACUCACUUAGCUUUCCUGUUAACAGUCAGUUUUGCUGUCCCACAAAGGAGAGCAAUUUAAACUCUACCACCACCUGAGGCCUGCACUCUGCUCCCCCUUCAUCAGUUUUUGUAUUAAUGGAAUUGCUUUGAUGUCGUGUUUUGGAGCCCUGUUCCAUUUAAAUUGUUGAUUAAAAAGAAAAUGACAUUUAGUAAAGAAAAAGCCAAUGUGACCUUUCCACGGUGGCUUGCCUUAAAAGAAUUUUUUCCAGAUAGUGAGGUUACAACAUCACCGUGCUGAUAUGGAAAUGAUUUUUUAAUAUUCAAUUCAUUCAGCCUAAGUUCUUCUCCAUUUGUAUAGAGGCCCUGGAUUCAGA